CCACUCACAAAGGGGAGCCAAUUUGGCUGAGAUUGAGGAAACUCUAAACCCUUCGUACCUGUAUCGGUUAUGCGAGCGUAGGAAUUGUGAAGUAUGAGAAG
Molecule: non-coding RNA, 101 nt
Filed under: Enterococcus cecorum
Lineage: Bacteria; Bacillati; Bacillota; Bacilli; Lactobacillales; Enterococcaceae
Also listed under: 1 other name
Description: TPP sequence
Rfam family: TPP riboswitch aptamer (THI element)
About the family: Vitamin B(1) in its active form thiamin pyrophosphate (TPP) is an essential coenzyme that is synthesised by coupling of pyrimidine and thiazole moieties in bacteria. The previously detected thiamin-regulatory element, thi box was extended, resulting in a new, highly conserved RNA secondary structure, the THI element, which is widely distributed in eubacteria and also occurs in some archaea. Analysis of operon structures identified a large number of new candidate thiamin-regulated genes, mostly transporters, in various prokaryotic organisms.
Source: RNAcentral